Molecule: ribosomal RNA, 253 nt
Filed under: uncultured bacterium
Lineage: Bacteria
Description: partial 16S ribosomal RNA
Rfam family: Bacterial small subunit ribosomal RNA
Source: RNAcentral
UACGGAGGGUGCAAGCGUUAUCCGGAUUCACUGGGUUUAAAGGGUUCGUAGGCGGGCAGUUAAGUCAGUGGUGAAAUCCUUGAGCUCAACUCGAGAACUGCCAUUGAUACUAUCUGUCUUGAAUAUUGUGGAGGUAAGCGGAAUAUGUCAUGUAGCGGUGAAAUGCUUAGAUAUGACAUAGAACACCUAUUGCGAAGGCAGCUUACUGCGCAUAUAUUGACGCUGAGGCACGAAAGCGUGGGGAUCAAACAGG